This 467-nucleotide ribosomal RNA is filed under the name uncultured bacterium. RNAcentral describes it as "partial 16S ribosomal RNA". It matches the Rfam family "Bacterial small subunit ribosomal RNA", at positions 28 to 507 of the family's 1533-position model. The record is from RNAcentral.
GACGAACGCUGGCGGCGUGCUUAACACAUGCAAGUCGAACGGAAAGGCCCUGCUUUUGUGGGGUGCUCGAGUGGCGAACGGGUGAGUAACACGUGAGUAACCUGCCCUUGACUUUGGGAUAACUUCAGGAAACUGGGGCUAAUACCGGAUAGGAGCUCCUGCUGCAUGGUGGGGGUUGGAAAGUUUCGGCGGUUGGGGAUGGACUCGCGGCUUAUCAGCUUGUUGGUGGGGUAGUGGCUUACCAAGGCUUUGACGGGUAGCCGGCCUGAGAGGGUGACCGGGCACAUUGGGACUGGGAUACGGCCCGGACUCAUACGGGAGGCAGCGGUGGGAAUAUUGCACAAUGGGCGGAAGCCUGAUGCAGCAACGCCGCGUGCGGGAUGACGGCCUUCGGGUUGUAAACCGCUUUCGCCUGUGACGAAGCGUGAGUGACGGUAAUGGGUAAAGAAGCACCGGCUAACUACGUG